RNAcentral lists this ribosomal RNA (344 nucleotides) under Chaitophorus leucomelas. Its description in RNAcentral is "partial 12S ribosomal RNA". The record is from RNAcentral. Lineage: Eukaryota; Metazoa; Arthropoda; Insecta; Hemiptera; Aphididae.
AAACCAGGAUUAGAUACCCUAUUAUAAAAAUUUAAAAUUAUUGCUAAAAAAUUAAUAGUUAAGUUCUUUAAAUUUAAAAAAUUUGGCGGUAUUUUAGUCUUAUUAGAGGAACCUGUUUAUUAAUUGAUAAUCCACGAUUAAUUUUACUUAUUUUUUAAAUUCAUAUAUCGCUGUCAUGAAUAUAUUUAAAAAUUUAUUUUCUAUAAUUAAUAUUAUAAUUUAUGUUAAGUCAAGAUGUGGUUAAUUUUUAAGAUUUUAAUGGGUUACAAUAAAUUUUAUUUAUGGAUUUUAAAUGAAAAAUAUAAUGAAAUUGGAUUUAAUAGUAAAUUUAUUUAUUUAAUAAA